CAAAGAUCUGAGAUGCCUGUGUGGUAGAGCAUACUUACCCGUCUGGAAUAAUAAAAUGUUUGAUUUAUAUUACUACAUGUGUUCAGUGUUUUUAAUUUUACGAUAAAUAAUAUCAGCUUAAUAUGUGCAAUAAAUACACAAACAGGUUACAACUUUUAAUAUUCGAGUAUUUCCUUUAUGGCCAGCUAUAGUUUAGGUUGGUUACGGAUUGUUUUUCAUGGUUCAUCGGUUCGUUUCUUAAUUAUUGGUCACAUGACAGUUCUUGGUCAGUGUAAGAUUCAGUUUGAAUUUAGAAAUUGAAUUGGGCAGUUGUGUCAUACUUUAGUUAAAAACUUUGGACAUUUGGACUUACAGACUACAAUCUACUAAUCAGAUAUACACCAGAUCUACACAUUACUAUAGAUCCAUCCGGAUUCUAAUACCACAUAUUUGAAUCUUUUGGAUGAUAUUUAUCGGAUAACAUUUGGAUGAUCUGUGAAUGAUGUUAUUCUGAUCGAUUGUGAUAAAUAAACCUUGUGACCGGUAUGCUUGUUUGAGUUAUCACCCGGUAACACUAGCUGAAUGCUGAUAGAACCCAGGACUA
This is a long non-coding RNA of Ostrea edulis (European flat oyster), 583 nucleotides long. RefSeq lists it as uncharacterized. The record is from RefSeq and is a predicted model, not a curated record. NCBI's taxonomy places the organism in Eukaryota, Metazoa, Mollusca, Bivalvia, Ostreida, Ostreidae. The transcript is spliced from 3 exons.